This is a long non-coding RNA of Priapulus caudatus, 151 nucleotides long. RefSeq lists it as uncharacterized. The record is from RefSeq and is a predicted model, not a curated record. The transcript is spliced from 3 exons. NCBI's taxonomy places the organism in Eukaryota, Metazoa, Priapulida, Priapulimorpha, Priapulimorphida, Priapulidae.
CGCUUGUGUGCCAGACAGUAAGGCAGAAUGGGUCUGUAUCGUAUCGGUACUACAAGAUAUGUACCGAGGUAGUUUAGGUGUUUAGUAUUAUGUUUAUAUUUUUAUAUGAGGUAUGUUUAGUGUUUGGGUUAGGAUUAGGGUUAGGGUUAGG